AGCUGAGCAGCUCCUGGUCGUCAUGGCUGUAGCGGCGACCAAAGCACAUUCCACAGAUGACAUUGGUGACGGACACUACGAUGUGACGGAAGGGGUCAAAGCUGCCGCUGGCCUCCAUGACGGAGCUGAUCCGCCGGAUCAGCUGUAUAGGUCUGGUCGGCCAGAAAACUCCUCCCCUUGCUUGAUGAGUGCCUGCCGGAUUACAUCGCUCCCACCCAUCACCACUACGGGGCGCAUACCAAUCUGGACCUGGAAGAUGGGGCCAUAACGCUCACUCAUCGCUGUCAGACUCAGACUCCAGCAGAACGAGGUUCACAGACUUUCUUUGACAUUAAACCAAAUCCAAAGAUACAGGCUACUGCCAACCCCUAUUAACAAUAUCAACAAUAACGUUCUUUUUUUCAUUUACAGUCAUGAAAGUCAUUAUAAACUCCACUCAUUUGUAAUUAUAUUUACAGUUAAUCGAUUUAGGACUACUUCAAUAAGUGUUUAAGCGUGAUUAAACUUGCGUAACUCCUCGAGUAGCGUACUAUAUCACAUAUUUAAAAGAACAAGCCAUAUAAAUUAAAAAUUAAAGCUUUGCUUAGAUCAGAGGAAGCUAGUCCGUCAUGUAUACGUUAACUGGUCAACUAAAUCACUGUGGAUUAAUGUAGGCCUAAUAUUUUAUUAGAGAAAGUACAUAAGCAAUUCACUACUAUUCGAUGUCAAUUAACAAAAUUAAUAUAAAUCGCCUUUUCAAAUACGCGAUCCCCUUGACAAAUACUGGUUUCGUGCAAAGAUGACGAUAGCGUGCAAAGGUGUGUAUGCGGGAGGGAGAACUUUUAGCCCGGAGUGUUUUGUAAUCAGCGGACUGGCUUCUGACAGCUUGAUAAAUCUCACUCAUCAUGUUAACCAAUAAAGCGUUGUCUUACAACUAAUACAUCUGAAGUAUUUUGAACAAGUUGAAAUGGGCUUCCUUUUUGCAUUUAAUACAGUUUCAGUCUGUUCACUGGGCUGUUUACCAUUAUUGGGAAAGCGACUGAUUCUGUUGGUUGUCAGACUGAGAAAUCGAACUUGCAAAUGCACCCAAAAGUAAACACAUAAAAUAAAUAUACGGUAAUAAAAUAACCAGUAAGGAGCUUACUUAACGCAAUCCCAAAAGGCCUCUAUAAUUUAAUUGCUGAAUGCAAUCAGCUGUAGCCACUUACAAACGGAGAAGGUUCAAGGAAAGCGCAAAUUUCUAAAAAAAAAUAUGGCAAGUAUCGCUCCUCUAAUCUGAAGACCAUCUAAUAAUAUAUACAAAAUAAUAACUUUAAGUCAGAUGUCUAAGUUAAACUUUAAUGACAACGUAACACGCCCUUGCCCGGUCGACGCUAGGGGUUAAAUAUCUGCCCAUGUUCGUGAGAGCUUUGCGGAUUGUGAACCCCAUCCCCCAUUUGCCCAACCCCAGGUUAAGGAUGCUGGGGGGGUUACUCUGUCAGCACCGCAGGGGUGAAAGACCAGCUGAAUUCAUUUCAUCGUUUUCUUUUCAGUAGAAAAAAGCAAAGAAAAAAAUAACCGAAAGGGAGAAAAGACUAAUAGGGAAGGUUGUGCGGAAUAGAGGCCUAUCUCGGCCACGUUUCAAAUUAUAUGUAACGUGUGGAAAUAUUGCAUUCUGACGGGUUAACAAAUAAGCAACAAAUACUAAAAUCUGAGUAAUCUAAAUUAAUAAAUUUGCCCAUACAGUGUAGGGAGGCUGUAAGGGAGGGUUUUUCAAAGAAAAAGAUUUCAUGAUUUGAAAAAUGUAACAAUACGCCACACAUCAAUGCUAAUUUGAUAUUAGAUUGACUUUUAUUAAACUAAGAAUGUAUUCAUUUAGAAUUAACAAUUUUGAAAUGUUUACUUGGUUUUUAAUAAAUGCUGAUUAUGAGGA
Molecule: non-coding RNA, 1891 nt
Organism: Paramormyrops kingsleyae
Lineage: Eukaryota; Metazoa; Chordata; Actinopteri; Osteoglossiformes; Mormyridae
Source: RefSeq, a predicted model, not a curated record